UGAACGUCUGGUCGCAGCUCGAUAUAAAAGAAGAAGAAGAAGAAGACCGGACCAUGUACAAGGUUGGAGGGCUCGCGGGUGUCUCCGGCGCUCUGGGCCUGAUUUCUGCCUCCGUGCUGGCGGCCUCCGCCGACGCCGACGACAAACCCAGCACCGCUCUGAGCGUAGAUGAGCUGUCUCUCUACACGACACGGCCGCAGAGCUUCCAGCCCGAGGAGCCCGAGAGAGGACCGGUGGAGGAGAGCGUGGCCAGACUGAGAGAGCUGACGGAGCCCUACACCUCCUGGUGUCAGAAAAUGGCCAGCUCGGUCACACAGACAGCGCAGGGCGUCUAUGGGACGGUGAAGCCCAAGGUCGACAGCACUGUAGAGUUCGGACAGAACAGUUACGCCUACUUGAAGAACCCUCCCCCCGAGUUUUACCCCAGAGCCGGAGUCAUUGGAUUUGCCGGGAUCCUGGGCCUUUUCCUCGGAAGAGGCUCCAGACUGAAGAAGCUGAUCUACCCCACCGCUCUAAUGGCUGUGUCCGUGUCCAUGUAUUAUCCUCAAGAGGCCGUGAGCGUCACAAAGAACACAGGAGACGCUGUAUACGACUGGGCGCUUCAGGCUUAUGUUGCUUUGGAGAAACUCAUCAAAGACAGACCUGCCUCAAAGAAAGAUCAGGCGGAGAGUUCAAGCGGGGAGACCAAAGCUUAGGUACAAAAUGUCAAGCAAACUGGGAUAUACGACAUGAACCCUUUCCCAGCUGUGCUGCACUAAGAUCUGUUCACACAUAAAAUCUGCACGCCGUCGGCUCUCAGAUCGUUUCUCUCACAGCGAUGCACGAUCUCCAUCCUUUGCUCACGUUCACUACCUGCUUUUGCACUAGCCACUUCCUCUUUCAUCUGACGGGAGUUAGUGGCCUGACUGGAAAGUUAUGAACAAACUACUGGGAUUGUAUUAAAAACAUCGUUAAAAUAG
Molecule: RNA transcript, 959 nt
Organism: Puntigrus tetrazona (Sumatra barb)
Lineage: Eukaryota; Metazoa; Chordata; Actinopteri; Cypriniformes; Cyprinidae
Gene: apooa
Gene name: apolipoprotein O, a
Exons: 10
Source: RefSeq, a predicted model, not a curated record